Molecule: ribosomal RNA, 253 nt
Filed under: uncultured bacterium
Lineage: Bacteria
Description: partial 16S ribosomal RNA
Rfam family: Bacterial small subunit ribosomal RNA
Source: RNAcentral
AACGUAGGUGGCAAGCGUUAUCCGGAUUUACUGGGCGUAAAGCGUGUGCAGGCGGGUGGGCAAGUGGUGUAUGAAAUCGCCAGGCUAAACCUGGCGGGGUUAUGCCAGACUGUCCGUCUGGAGUGCGAGAGAGGGGCGUGGAAUUCCGGGUGUAGUGGUGAAAUGCGUAGAGAUCAAGAGGAACACUCGUGGCGAAAGCGAGCUACUGGACAAUUCCUGACGCUGAGGCUCGAAGGCUAGGGUAGCGAAAGGG